UUUUUUUCACGGCCUAGGCCGUGAAGUUUUACCCCCUCCUUUUUUAUUACGAACUUUUUGUGUACACCCAGACGAAAUUGAGAGAGAUUGUAAAAAAAGUCACAUUCUAGCGUACCGACCGAUAAUUUUUAGUCAAUUUUAAACUUAGUUACUAUUUAGUGGCGCUAAUUAUUUCUCUGCUGGCAGUUUAUUACAAAGCGGACUUAAUUUUAAUAAA
This is a long non-coding RNA of Cotesia glomerata, 217 nucleotides long. RefSeq lists it as uncharacterized. The transcript has 3 exons. Lineage: Eukaryota; Metazoa; Arthropoda; Insecta; Hymenoptera; Braconidae. The record is from RefSeq and is a predicted model, not a curated record.